GGGAUAUUGGCAUGUCACCUUCCAUUGUUGGAUCGUUUGCCAGGAAGGAAGCCGAAUUAGUUGAGUUUUUCAUGGAUGAUUGCUUACAGCGGCUCAUCGAUCUAAUUGAGGCAGGAGAGGGCCUUAAGAAUUUGAUACUUCGUGAACGUAUUUACAAGCUUGUUAGGGCUCGUCUAGAAUUGCAAGCUCCCUUCAUAUCCAAAUGGGCUCAGGCUCUCAGUAUCCAGGCACAACCAGCAAAUCUAGCAACUAGCUUUAAACAACGGGCGAUGCUUGUUGAUGAGAUAUGGCAUGCUGCUGGUGGCGACACCUCUGACAUUGAUUGGUA
RNAcentral lists this unclassified non-coding RNA (328 nucleotides) under Hevea brasiliensis (rubber tree). The record is from RNAcentral. Lineage: Eukaryota; Viridiplantae; Streptophyta; Magnoliopsida; Malpighiales; Euphorbiaceae.